This 468-nucleotide ribosomal RNA is filed under the name uncultured bacterium. RNAcentral's name for it is "partial 16S ribosomal RNA". It matches the Rfam family "Bacterial small subunit ribosomal RNA", at positions 28 to 507 of the family's 1533-position model. The record is from RNAcentral.
GACGAACGCUGGCGGCGUGCUUAACACAUGCAAGUCGAACGGAAAGGCCCUGCUUUUGUGGGGUGCUCGAGUGGCGAACGGGUGAGUAACACGUGAGUAACCUGCCCUUGACUUUGGGAUAACUUCAGGAAACUGGGGCUAAUACCGGAUAGGAGCUCCUGCUGCAUGGUGGGGGUUGGAAAGUUUCGGCGGUUGGGGCUGGACUCGCGGCUUAUCAGCUUGUUGGUGGGGUAGUGGCUUACCAAGGCUUUGACGGGUAGCCGGCCUGAGAGGGUGACCGGCCACAUGGGGACUGAGAUACGGCCCAGACGCCUACGGGAGGCAGCAGUGGGGAAUAUUGCACAAUGGGCGGAAGCCUGAUGCAGCAACGCCGCGUGCGGGAUGACGGCCUUCGGGUUGUAAACCGCUUUCGCCUGUGACGAAGCGUGAGUGACGGUAAUGGGUAAAGAAGCACCGGCUAACUACGUG